GGCUCACGCUUGUAAUCCCAGCACUUUGGGAGGCCGAGGCGGGCAGAUCACGAAGUCAGAAGAUCGAGACCAUCCUGGCUAACACGGGACUCAAGACUGGAAUGGGAAGAGCAUGAAAUUGAGCUGUCUAUCCCCCUGGAUCUCUCAUUGCCACCUGCCCAUAGGUUGGCUGCACCCCUCCACCAAAGAAAGGCCAUGACUCCUUCCUGGCAGCCCUGUCUUACAGCUACUCUCUGGUGAUCUGGGAACCACUCCCUCCCUUACCCCUUGAUGCCUAGGGCUAGUGCCAGCACCUUGUUGUUGUUAGCCUCAGAGGCACUUGCACUGUUCCUUGAUGGUUUUCCCAAAUCUUGCCCUCAUCUUUGUAAAUACUGUUUGCCGUUUAUUACACUGUCAUCAUAUUACCC
Molecule: long non-coding RNA, 407 nt
Filed under: Homo sapiens (human)
Lineage: Eukaryota; Metazoa; Chordata; Mammalia; Primates; Hominidae
Description: non-protein coding lnc-ELOVL1-1:3
Source: RNAcentral